RNAcentral lists this ribosomal RNA (222 nucleotides) under Alexandrium margalefii. RNAcentral describes it as "partial Bacterial small subunit ribosomal RNA". It matches the Rfam family "Bacterial small subunit ribosomal RNA", at positions 1211 to 1462 of the family's 1533-position model. Lineage: Eukaryota; Dinophyceae; Gonyaulacales; Pyrocystaceae. The record is from RNAcentral.
GGGCUACACACGUGCUACAAUGGCAUCUACAGUGGGUUAAUCCCCAAAAGAUGUCUCAGUUCGGAUUGUUCUCUGCAACUCGAGAGCAUGAAGUCGGAAUCGCUAGUAAUCGCGUAUCAGCAAUGACGCGGUGAAUACGUUCCCGGACCUUGUACACACCGCCCGUCAAGCCAUGGGAGUUGGGUAUACCUGAAGAUGGUUGCCGUGAGGCGCUGUUUAGGG